CCUACGGGAGGCAGCAGUGGGGAAUUUUGGACAAUGGGCGCAAGCCUGAUCCAGCAAUGCCGCGUGAGUGAAGAAGGCCUUCGGGUUGUAAAGCUCUUUUGUCAGGGAAGAAACGGCCUGUUCUAAUACAGUGGGCUAAUGACGGUACCUGAAGAAUAAGCACCGGCUAACUACGUGCCAGCAGCCGCGGUAAUACGUAGGGUGCAAGCGUUAAUCGGAAUUACUGGGCGUAAAGCGUGCGCAGGCGGUUUUGUAAGUCUGUCGUGAAAUCCCCGGGCUCAACCUGGGAAUGGCGAUGGAGACUGCAAGGCUAGAGUUUGGCAGAGGGGGGUAGAAUUCCACGUGUAGCAGUGAAAUGCGUAGAUAUGUGGAGGAACACCGAUGGCGAAGGCAGCCCCCUGGGUCAAACUGACGCUCAUGCACGAAAGCGUGGGGAGCAAACAGGAUUAGAUACCCUGGUAGUCCACGCCCUAAACGAUGUCUACUAGUUGUCGGGUCUUAAUUGACUUGGUAACGCAGCUAACGCGUGAAGUAGCCGCCUGGGGAGUCGGUCGNAAGNUUAAACGUUAAGGAUUGACGGNNGNGNGNGCGAGCGACGACGAGGAGGAGG
Molecule: ribosomal RNA, 610 nt
Filed under: uncultured bacterium
Lineage: Bacteria
Description: bacterial SSU rRNA
Rfam family: Bacterial small subunit ribosomal RNA
Source: RNAcentral